GUGGGGAAUAUUGCACAAUGGGGGAAACCCUGAUGCAGCGACGCCGCGUGAAGGAAGAAGUAUCUCGGUAUGUAAACUUCUAUCAGCAGGGAAGAAUUAGGACGGUACCUGACUAAGAAGCCCCGGCUAACUACGUGCCAGCAGCCGCGGUAAUACGUAGGGGGCAAGCGUUAUCCGGAUUUACUGGGUGUAAAGGGAGCGUAGACGGAUGGACAAGUCUGAUGUGAAAGGCUGGGGCUCAACCCCGGGACUGCAUUGGAAACUGCCCGUCUUGAGUGCCGGAGAGGUAAGCGGAAUUCCUAGUGUAGCGGUGAAAUGCGUAGAUAUUAGGAGGAACACCAGUGGCGAAGGCGGCUUACUGGACGGUAACUGACGUUGAGGCUCGAAAGCGUGGGGAGCAAACAGGA
Molecule: ribosomal RNA, 407 nt
Filed under: uncultured bacterium
Lineage: Bacteria
Description: bacterial SSU rRNA
Rfam family: Bacterial small subunit ribosomal RNA
Source: RNAcentral